UACGAAGGGGGCUAGCGUUGCUCGGAAUUACUGGGCGUAAAGCGUGCGCAGGCGGUUCGUUAAGUCAGAUGUGAAAGCCCCGGGCUCAACCUGGGAACUGCAUUUGAAACUGGCGGGCUUGAGUGUGGCAGAGGGGGGUGGAAUUCCGCGUGUAGCAGUGAAAUGCGUAGAGAUGCGGAGGAACACCGAUGGCGAAGGCAGCCCCCUGGGCCAACACUGACGCUCAGGCACGAAAGCGUGGGGAGCAAACAGG
This 253-nucleotide ribosomal RNA is filed under the name uncultured bacterium. RNAcentral's name for it is "partial 16S ribosomal RNA". It matches the Rfam family "Bacterial small subunit ribosomal RNA", at positions 524 to 776 of the family's 1533-position model. The record is from RNAcentral.